RNAcentral lists this ribosomal RNA (486 nucleotides) under uncultured bacterium. Its description in RNAcentral is "partial 16S ribosomal RNA". It matches the Rfam family "Bacterial small subunit ribosomal RNA", at positions 29 to 507 of the family's 1533-position model. The record is from RNAcentral.
AACGAACGCUGGCGGCGCGUCUUACCCAUGCAAGUCGAGCGGCAGGCAGCAAUGCCGAGAGCGGCGGACUGGUGAGUAACACGUGGAUAACGUACCCCGAUGUCCGGGACAGCCUGUAGAAAUAGAGGGUAAUACCGGAUAGAUCACUGUUUACGUGAGGUAGACAGCGGGAAAGGAGCUUCGGCUCCGCGACGGGAUCGGUCUGCGGCCCAUCAGCUGGACGGCGGGGUAAAGGCCCGCCGUGGCGAGGACGGGUAUCCGGCCUGAGAGGGCGGACGGACACAUUGGGACUGAGAUACGGCCCAGACUCCUACGGGAGGCAGCAGGUAAGAAUAUUCCGCAAUGGGGGGAACCCUGACGGAGCGACGCCGCGUGAACGAAGAAGGCCGGAAGGUUGUAAAGUUCUUUUCUGUCCGAGGAAUAAGUUUCGGAGGAAAUGCCGGGACGGUGACGGUAGGGCAGGAAUAAGCACCGGCUAAUUACGUG